This 497-nucleotide ribosomal RNA is filed under the name Serica lagoi. Its description in RNAcentral is "partial 16S large subunit ribosomal RNA". It matches the Rfam family "Bacterial large subunit ribosomal RNA", at positions 1844 to 2600 of the family's 2925-position model. The record is from RNAcentral. Lineage: Eukaryota; Metazoa; Arthropoda; Insecta; Coleoptera; Scarabaeidae.
UUUAAAGUCUAAUCUGCCCUAUGAGGUAUUAAAUGGCCGCGGUAUUUUGACCGUGCAAAGGUAGCAUAAUAAUUAGUUUUUUAAUUGAAAGCUGGAAUGAAUGAUUGAACGAGAAAAUAGCUGUCUCAAUUUUAUUUUAUUAGAAUUUUAUUUUUAAGUAAAAAAGCUUAAAUUUUAUUGAAAGACGAGAAGACCCUAUAGAGUUUUAUAUUUAGUUAAUUAUUAAUUUUUUAGAAUUAUUUUAUUGAUAAUUAGUUAAUUAUUUUGUUGGGGUGAUAGAAAAAUUAAAAUAACUUUUUUUAAUUAUUAUUACAUUAAUUUAUGAUUUUAUGAUCCAUUAUUUAUGAUUAGAAGAUUAAGUUACCUUAGGGAUAACAGCGUAAUUUUUUUUUAGAGUUCUUAUCGAAAAAAAAGAUUGCGACCUCGAUGUUGGAUUAAAAUUAAUAUUAGGUGUAGAAGCUUUAAUAUUAGGUCUGUUCGACCUUUAAAAUUUUACA